This is a long non-coding RNA of Rosa chinensis, 1318 nucleotides long. RefSeq lists it as uncharacterized. The transcript has 9 exons. The record is from RefSeq and is a predicted model, not a curated record. NCBI's taxonomy places the organism in Eukaryota, Viridiplantae, Streptophyta, Magnoliopsida, Rosales, Rosaceae.
UGUUCUCAGAAACAAAAAUGAAAGUCGACAUGAAAACUCUCUCCCCCCUUUCUCCUUUCUCCCUUCUCUUUUACCAGCAACUAUGGUCUUACGUAUAUGUUCAUUUGCUCCGAUUAAAACCCUAGCUUUCUCUUUGCCGCAGUCCCCUUUUUCUGUGUGUGGCGCCUUUCUAUUAGGUCCGAAACCCUAAUCUCUGAUCGCUCUCUCUCUCUCUCUCUCUUAAUCUCUCUCUCUCUCUCUCUCUCUCUCUCUAUGGUUAUUGUUUUCUUCUGCUCCAUAAUUUUGUGAGUGUUACUCCACAAUCGCUUGAUUUCCUGGAUCAGAGUUUCAAAUCCAUGUUAUUUUUCGACCUUUGAGGUUGGCUUAGGGUGGAGUGGCGGAUCUGUUGUAGUGUUCUCUGACGACGACAACGGUUUGGAACUACGAGGCAUCGAAGGCGUUCGAUGGGGCAGGGGAGAGGCCCUGAGCCUAGAGCAUUGGUGCUCGCAGAUAAUCAACCAGAUGGAAAAACUGAUUGGAGAAGUUGAGAAGAUUUGCUGGCCUCAAGGAUACCCAUUUUUUCACGGCAGUCAGUGGUGAAUAACUUCCUCACAUUCAACACUUCAAACAUAAAUUUGCAUGCAUUGGAUGUAUAGGAUUCGAAAGCACAAGUUAGUGCAAUUCAUUUGAUAAUUGAGGCUCUCCAGAGGAUGCAUUUAUUUGGUGUUGAGAACAGAGAUUUUUAACUCACAAUGCCACAGGGAAGCCAGACAAGUUGGUUUACAUUGCCACCUAUGAUAUUCUUUAGAGAUUUCAAAACCUCGGCGUAAUACUCUGAAAAUUGAUGACAAUAUGGCCUUUCUUGAUUACAGAAACAAUACAAGGUUCAAAAGGAUGAUCUGCUUAAUUUUUCGUGUCAGAUCAGGAGAACGCCAAUUGAGGAACUUUGCCUUCAGUCUAUGAUAGGUCACUGCUCAGGUGCUUUUGGGGGAUUUGGAAGCUAAUGCUAGAGUGUAAUCCAUACAAACAGGCUGGCUCCAUCAUUCCCCAAACCAAUUUGUAGGUUUCUAUGUUUGGUGGUUUUUGUUUUUGGGGUUUGGAAGCAAUUCACAAAUCUUGGAGAAUAUCACUUGCAGUCUUGACUAUGAUCUAUGAAUUGCAGAUGUGAUCUGUGUUUAUGUGGCUUGUUUAUGUAGUCAUCCAUGGAGGAGAAAUGGAAGUUGCAGAUAUCAUGCCUAGAAUUAAGGCUGUUAAUUUUUUUUCUUUCACAAAAGUGAUUUGAUAACAAUUAUACAGUUUGUAUAUUAAUUUUUUUUUUAAAUUUGAAAUAUUGCAGUCA